AACGAACGCUGGCGGCAUGCUAACACAUGCAAGUCGCACGAGACCUUCGGGUCUAGUGGCGCACGGGUGCGUAACGCGUGGGAACCUGCCCUUAGGUUCGGAAUAACUCCCCGAAAGGGGUGCUAAUACCGGAUAAUGUCUUCGGACCAAAGAUUUAUCGCCUUUGGAUGGGCCCGCGUUGGAUUAGCUAGUUGGUAGGGUAAAAGCCUACCAAGGCGACGAUCCAUAGCUGGUCUGAGAGGAUGAUCAGCCACACUGGGACUGAGACACGGCCCAGACUCCUACGGGAGGCAGCAGUGGGGAAUAUUGGACAAUGGGCGAAAGCCUGAUCCAGCAAUGCCGCGUGAGUGAUGAAGGCCUUAGGGUUGUAAAGCUCUUUUACCCGGGAUGAUAAUGACAGUACCGGGAGAAUAAGCGCCGGCUAACUCCGUG
RNAcentral lists this ribosomal RNA (432 nucleotides) under uncultured bacterium. RNAcentral's name for it is "partial 16S ribosomal RNA". It matches the Rfam family "Bacterial small subunit ribosomal RNA", at positions 29 to 507 of the family's 1533-position model. The record is from RNAcentral.